GACUCCGGUGGUGGCACUCCUGACCUGGUCGGGACGGGGUUCAAAUCCCUGCGGUGUC
This is a small RNA of Gambusia affinis (western mosquitofish), 58 nucleotides long. NCBI's taxonomy places the organism in Eukaryota, Metazoa, Chordata, Actinopteri, Cyprinodontiformes, Poeciliidae. The record is from Ensembl.